Non-coding RNA from Anolis carolinensis (green anole), 86 nucleotides. NCBI's taxonomy places the organism in Eukaryota, Metazoa, Chordata, Lepidosauria, Squamata, Anolidae. The record is from Ensembl.
UGGUCUGUGAUGAAUAGCCCACUGCGCAAUCUGAGUUCUGUAGAACCCAAUGAUGGAUUUUGUGCUUUCGAAGGCAUCUGAGACCA